CCAAGAAGCAUGGCUGCUCCAGCAUUAGCCAUGUGUCAUGGUGGUCCUUGGUAUCUUGCCUUGAAGAUGAGCUACAGUGACAGGUCCUUAAUUGAUGUGCAGUUUCCACUUGCUUUUUUAUGUUACUAUUUUGGGCCAAUUAUAUUUUUUAAAAAAGGCACUUCUUUUUUCUUUUACUUGGUUCAUCAAAAACAGGAAGUCAAAGUGUAUAUAUCCACACGAAACAGACACAGAGCCCAAAGAAGACGGGGAGCAGAUGUGAAAUGCUCUGAACUGGUUACAGGUGAGCCGGGGAGGAGGAGCUCUGUUUUGUUGGCUGACUGCCUGCUGUUCCAGUAACUGUGUUAGAGGCGUGGCUGCAACAGCCUAGGACCAAGACUUGAAGAUUGGGUUCUGGCCUUGACCUAUGGUGAGGGUCACAAUAGACUUUAUCAUUCAAACCAGGACACUUUUGAGAACCCAAGGAGGCCCUUUAGUAGUUCCUAUGGGACAACAUGUGGAAACGGGACUGUCUUGGGCAAAGUGGUACAUACAGUCCCCCCACGUCGAUCUUGGGUAAGUCACUGAAGCUCUGUGAGCUUCAGUUUCAUCAGUUCUUAAAACAACAAAAAAUACCUGUCCUAUCUCACAGGGUGUGAGGCUCAAAUGAGAUAAUAAAUUUGGAAAGUGUUGUGAAAAUAAGGAAUCACUGUGAAUGUACAGGUUAUUUCCAUACGUCCACAGAGGAGCCCAAAUGUGUGCUGAAUGGGUGAAGGUGGUCAAAAGGUACAAACUUCCAGUUAUAAGAUAAGUCAGUCCCGGGAUGUAAUGUACAGUGUGGUGGCUAUAUUAACAAUACCGUAUUGUAUUUUUGAAGGUUGCUAAGAGAGUAGAUCUUAAAAGUUCUCAUCAGCAAGAAAAAAGAAUUUAUAACUAUGUGAAGUGAUGGAUGUUAACCAAACUUAUUGUGCCAAGCAUUUCACAAUAUAUGCAUGCGUUAAAUCAUUUUGCUGUGCACUAAAAUGAAUACUGUUAUAUGUCAAUUAUAGCAAUAAAACUGGAAAAAAUAAAAAACAUGAGAGAG
RNAcentral lists this long non-coding RNA (1063 nucleotides) under Equus caballus (horse). RNAcentral describes it as "lncRNA (ENSECAG00000028367.2)". Lineage: Eukaryota; Metazoa; Chordata; Mammalia; Perissodactyla; Equidae. The record is from RNAcentral.